UACGUAGGGUGCGAGCGUUGUCCGGAAUUAUUGGGCGUAAAGGGCUCGUAGGCGGUCUGUCACGUCGGGAGUGAAAACCCGGAGCUCAACUCCGGGCCUGCAGUCGAUACGGGCGGACUUGAGUGUUGCAGGGGAGACUGGAAUUCCUGGUGUAGCGGUGAAAUGCGCAGAUAUCAGGAGGAACACCGGUGGCGAAGGCGGGUCUCUGGGCAACUACUGACGCUGAGGAGCGAAAGCGUGGGGAGCGAACAGG
RNAcentral lists this ribosomal RNA (253 nucleotides) under uncultured bacterium. RNAcentral describes it as "partial 16S ribosomal RNA". It matches the Rfam family "Bacterial small subunit ribosomal RNA", at positions 524 to 776 of the family's 1533-position model. The record is from RNAcentral.